RNAcentral lists this non-coding RNA (399 nucleotides) under Aedes aegypti (yellow fever mosquito). Its description in RNAcentral is "rRNA AAEL019044". It matches the Rfam family "Eukaryotic large subunit ribosomal RNA", at positions 1548 to 1884 of the family's 3401-position model. The record is from Rfam by way of RNAcentral. Lineage: Eukaryota; Metazoa; Arthropoda; Insecta; Diptera; Culicidae.
UGGAAAUAAGAUAUAUUUUUGAGAGCUUCUCCUAGUAUUCUAAUAAUUCCUUUGUUCAUAGAAUUUACCAGAAUAUAAUUUAUAUAUAAUACAACCGGAAUUCCUGCAGAAUUCCAGAUACCGUCGGACGGGGCUACUUUUGAUUCCAGGGGCUACUUUGGACACUCACCUUUUGUACUUAUUAGCAGCGGAUCGGAAGAGUUCUCUUUUCUGUUUUACAGUCACACUAGCCAUGUAAGUCUUUCAUAGAGAGAUAUGGUUGGACAGGCUGGUAGAGCAUGGUAUCAAAUUGCUGUGUCGAUAUUCUCUUCUUGGACCUUGAAAAUCGAAGAUUGGGGCACGCAAACUCUCAACAGCUUGUACCGAAUCCGCAGCAGGUCUCCAAGGUUUAGAGUCUCU